UAGAGGAAGUAAAAGUCGUAACAAGGUUUCCGUAGGUGAACCUGCGGAAGAUCAUUACUGAAUUUUGAAAGGGGUUGUAGCUGGCCUCUUUAUCGGAGCAUGUGCACACCCUGUUCAUCCAUUCUACACCUGUGCACACCCUGUAGGUGGUUUUGAAUGGGUCUUCUUAUGAGGACUUGUUGAGACCUUCCUAUGUUUUAUACACACACUUUGUCAGUUAAAGAAUGUAAUCGCGUUUAACGCAUUUAUACAACUUUCAGCAACGGAUCUCUUGGCUCUCGCAUCGAUGAAGAAGCAGCGAAAUGCGAUAAGUAAUGUGAAUUGCAGAAUUCAGUGAAUCAUCAAUCUUUGAACGCACCUUGCGCUCCUUGGUAUUCCGAGGAGCAUGCCUGUUGAGUGUCAUGGAAUUCUCAACCCUCUCAUCUUUGUUGUGAGUUGGGCUGGAUUUGGAGGCUUUGCUGGUUUUUGUAAAUCAGCUCCUCUUGAAUGCUUAGCUUAAACCUCUGCGGAACGGCUGUUCGGUGUGAUAAUUGUCUACGCGUGCGUCGUGAAGCUUUGUUACACUUUGUUGUGUAAGGGGGUGUAGCUCCAAUCGUCUCUUUAUUGGGACAAUAUUUGACCUCUGACCUCAAAUCAGUAGGAUUACCCGCUGAACUUAAGCAUAUCAAUAAGC
Molecule: ribosomal RNA, 673 nt
Filed under: Lentoporia carbonica
Lineage: Eukaryota; Fungi; Basidiomycota; Agaricomycetes; Polyporales; Adustoporiaceae
Description: eukaryotic LSU rRNA
Rfam family: 5.8S ribosomal RNA (bases 252-402)
Source: RNAcentral